CGGCCCUCACAGGGCGCCAUGUCCCAGCAUGCCAUGCGGGCCAGCAGUGACACUCCCCUCCCAGCAUGCCGUGCGGCCCUGCAGUGACAUCCCGUCCCAGCAUGCCGUGCGGCCCUCACAGGGAGCCAUGUCCCAGAAUGCCCUGAGGCCCAGCAGAGAGGAUUUCCAUAAGGCAGGAAUCCUUUGUUUGAUUCCCCCACCUCCCAGUGGAAAAGUUCAGCAGCCCAGCCUCUGCCUGGGAGCAACCGAGACAAGUCACCGCUUGCAGGGAGCCACCUGAGGGUUCGGUUUGAGUGUUGAGGUCGAUGGAGGCCACUUUGCCGGCAGUGGCAGAGGAGCUUUUGAAAGAGAUAAAAAAGGCUUUCCAGGAGACCUCGCAUGUUUCUGAUGAUCUCCUGCUGGCGCUGAAAUUUGUAUUUGGCUCAUCUGCUGUGGCGGCCUUGGAUUUGGUUGAUCAACACUCAGUCACGCGAAUCGUGUCUCCUAGUGGAAGGGCCGUGUACCAGGUCCUCGGGAGUUCAGGCAAACUGUACACCUGCUACGCCUCCUGCCACUUCUGCACGUGCCCUGCAUUUGCUUUCUCCGUGCUGCGGAAGAACGACAGCCUGGUGUGUAAGCACAUCCUUGCCAUGUACCUCAGCCAGGCCACAGGCGCAUGCCAAGAGCUCUCUGUCUCUGACCAGCAGCUGGCAAGCAUCUUACUGGCAGAGGAAGAGGAGGAAGGACCUGGGACCGUGUGCUAACACCUUCUCUCCUGCAACGCCUCCCUGGCUCCUCUGAGGCCCUGAGUGACGCAUCCCAGAGCCCAACUCCACAUUGAGUGUUGUGUCUGUUGCCCCCCGCACUCCGGCCACCUGGCUCUGUCUCAUUUGCAAACGCAGCCUGUUCUCAUCUAACAUCGCUACCGGAAGGGCAUGCCCAAAGAAACGACACGGCGCAAGGUCUGCACCACAUCACCACAACGGAAGGCCUUCCCCGGGAAUCCUCCUGCUGCCGAUUGAGAAUCAACGCAAAGCAUGAUCAAGAGCAGAACUAGCAGGACUUACUUUAUCCUGGCCAUUGAGCUCCUGGUAUGGAAUGUGUGCAGGCAGGUAGGUGUGGAGGAGAGCGCAGAAGGCCAGCCCAUCGCUCCAGCUGCUGCUGAAGUUGGUAAUGUCUAUGUUCUGUGGGAGGAAACAACAAAACCAUUACUGAGUGCUGCUGACGUCAGGCAAUGGCCCGAGUGAACAGCCCUUGUAGCCAGUGAAGCAGGGCAGAGCCAGCAUCAACAUAGAUACAGAAGAACAUGAGGGAUAACAGGUGGCUAGAAAGACUUUCUCUGAGCUCUGAAGGUACUAAAUUCUGUCCAGCUGAGUGCUACAUGGAGCUCCAGGUAAGUGGCUAAGGCCUUCUUGUAGCCAUACUUAUGCGCAGCUGGGGGAGACUACAGGCUUCCUGGGUCAAGAUGGAGCGCUGAUGUUGAAGCCCUAAAAUGAAACAGAAGGCUACUACGGGCUGCGGUGCGGAAUUCUCUGGGCUGCAUCUGGCCUGCAGGCUGCACCUUGCCUAAACUUCUUGAACUGUCCCUUCGUGGGGCACUGCCAGUCUCCGGUCACUACAGAAACAUUGCGUUACUUUUUCAUUUUUUUGCUCUGUUCUAUAUCAGCACUGGGCAGAUGAGGAAUCCAGGUGGCUGGUUUCAAACACCUGGGCAGAGCUUUGUUAAGAGUUAAGCUGGUCCCAAAUCUGACCCCAAACAAGGGAAGUAUCUGCCGCUUUCCAGAAAGUGAGAAAUGCCUUGUGCAGCAUGAACCUUGGCUGGGGUUUUGAUCCCUGCCCUGUCAGGAGGAAGGAACUGUUUCAGGCGUGUCUGUAUAAUGGGCUGGCUCGGCUGCAUCCCGUGCACCCCCUCAUGGCCUAGGACCAUGCUACAGACAGCCUGUCUCAGUUUCCCCUCUUGGACUGUUCAAAGAAACCUCACUUCAGGCUUUU
This is a non-coding RNA of Chrysemys picta bellii (western painted turtle), 1971 nucleotides long. Lineage: Eukaryota; Metazoa; Chordata; Testudines; Emydidae. The record is from RefSeq and is a predicted model, not a curated record.